AGCAGCCGCGGUAAUUCCAGCUCCAAUAGCGUAUAUUAAAGUUGUUGCAGUUAAAAAGCUCGUAGUUGAAUUUCGGGGUCAGUAGGUUGGUCAUGCCUCCGGUAUGUACUGGUCUCACUGAUUCCUCCUUCCUGAUGAACCGUAAUGCCAUUAAUUUGGUGUUGCGGGGAGACUGGACUGUUACUUUGAAAAAAUUAGAGUGUUUAAAGCAGGCUAACGCUUGAAUACAUUAGCAUGGAAUAAUGAAAUAGGACGUUCGAUCCUAUUUUGUUGGUUUCUAGGAUUGACGUAAUGAUUAAUAGGGAUAGUUGGGGGCAUUAGUAUUCAAUUGUCAGAGGUGAAAUUCUUGGAUUUAUUGAAGACUAACUACUGCGAAAGCAUUUGCCAAGGAUGUUUUCAUUAAUCAAGAACGAAAGUUAGGGGAUCGAAGACGAUCAGAUACCGUCGUAG
This 450-nucleotide ribosomal RNA is filed under the name uncultured Glomeromycotina. Its description in RNAcentral is "SSU rRNA". It matches the Rfam family "Eukaryotic small subunit ribosomal RNA", at positions 569 to 1023 of the family's 1831-position model. Lineage: Eukaryota; Fungi; Glomeromycota. The record is from RNAcentral.